AGCGACUAAGCGUACACGGUGGAUGCCCUGGCAGUCAGAGGCGAUGAAGGGCGUGCUAAUCUGCGAUAAGCGCCGGUAAGGUGAUAUGAACCGUUAUAACCGGCGAUACCCGAAUGGGGAAACCCAGUGUGAUUCGUCACACUAUCAUUAACUGAAUCCAUAGGUUAAUGAGGCGAACCGGGGGAACUGAAACAUCUAAGUACCCCGAGGAAAAGAAAUCAACCGAGAUUCCCCCAGUAGCGGCGAGCGAACGGGGAGGAGCCCAGAGCCUGAAUCAGCAUGUGUGUUAGUGGAAGCGUCUGGAAAGGCGCGCGAUACAGGGUGACAGCCCCGUACACAAAAGCGCAUGUGCUGUGAGCUCGAUGAGUAGGGCGGGACACGUGGUAUCCUGUCUGAAUAUGGGGGGACCAUCCUCCAAGGCUAAAUACUCCUGACUGACCGAUAGUGAACCAGUACCGUGAGGGAAAGGCGAAAAGAACCCCGGCGAGGGGAGUGAAAAAGAACCUGAAACCGU
RNAcentral lists this ribosomal RNA (514 nucleotides) under Salmonella enterica. RNAcentral describes it as "partial 23S ribosomal RNA". It matches the Rfam family "Bacterial large subunit ribosomal RNA", at positions 1 to 559 of the family's 2925-position model. RNAcentral also lists the same sequence under 3 other names. Lineage: Bacteria; Pseudomonadati; Pseudomonadota; Gammaproteobacteria; Enterobacterales; Enterobacteriaceae. The record is from RNAcentral.